This 1874-nucleotide ribosomal RNA is filed under the name Klebsiella pneumoniae BIDMC 34. RNAcentral's name for it is "bacterial LSU rRNA". It matches the Rfam family "Bacterial large subunit ribosomal RNA", at positions 1072 to 2925 of the family's 2925-position model. Lineage: Bacteria; Pseudomonadati; Pseudomonadota; Gammaproteobacteria; Enterobacterales; Enterobacteriaceae. The record is from RNAcentral.
GAUGUGGGAAGGCACAGACAGCCAGGAUGUUGGCUUAGAAGCAGCCAUCAUUUAAAGAAAGCGUAAUAGCUCACUGGUCGAGUCGGCCUGCGCGGAAGAUGUAACGGGGCUAAACCAUGCACCGAAGCUGCGGCAGCGACACUAUGUGUUGUUGGGUAGGGGAGCGUUCUGUAAGCCUGCGAAGGUGUGCUGUGAGGCAUGCUGGAGGUAUCAGAAGUGCGAAUGCUGACAUAAGUAACGAUAAAGCGGGUGAAAAGCCCGCUCGCCGGAAGACCAAGGGUUCCUGUCCAACGUUAAUCGGGGCAGGGUGAGUCGACCCCUAAGGCGAGGCCGAAAGGCGUAGUCGAUGGGAAACAGGUUAAUAUUCCUGUACUUGGUGUUACUGCGAAGGGGGGACGGAGAAGGCUAUGUUAGCCGGGCGACGGUUGUCCCGGUUUAAGCAUGUAGGCUGGUUAUCCAGGCAAAUCCGGAUAAUCAAGGCUGAGGUGUGAUGACGAGGCACUACGGUGCUGAAGUAACAAAUGCCCUGCUUCCAGGAAAAGCCUCUAAGCAUCAGGUAACAUCAAAUCGUACCCCAAACCGACACAGGUGGUCAGGUAGAGAAUACCAAGGCGCUUGAGAGAACUCGGGUGAAGGAACUAGGCAAAAUGGUGCCGUAACUUCGGGAGAAGGCACGCUGGUGUGUAGGUGAAGUCCCUGCGGAUGGAGCUGAGACCAGUCGAAGAUACCAGCUGGCUGCAACUGUUUAUUAAAAACACAGCACUGUGCAAACACGAAAGUGGACGUAUACGGUGUGACGCCUGCCCGGUGCCGGAAGGUUAAUUGAUGGGGUUAUCCGUAAGGAGAAGCUCUUGAUCGAAGCCCCGGUAAACGGCGGCCGUAACUAUAACGGUCCUAAGGUAGCGAAAUUCCUUGUCGGGUAAGUUCCGACCUGCACGAAUGGCGUAAUGAUGGCCAGGCUGUCUCCACCCGAGACUCAGUGAAAUUGAACUCGCUGUGAAGAUGCAGUGUACCCGCGGCAAGACGGAAAGACCCCGUGAACCUUUACUAUAGCUUGACACUGAACAUUGAGCCUUGAUGUGUAGGAUAGGUGGGAGGCUUUGAAGCGUGGACGCCAGUCUGCGUGGAGCCAACCUUGAAAUACCACCCUUUAAUGUUUGAUGUUCUAACGUUGGCCCCUGACCGGGGUUGCGGACAGUGUCUGGUGGGUAGUUUGACUGGGGCGGUCUCCUCCCAAAGCGUAACGGAGGAGCACGAAGGUUAGCUAAUCCUGGUCGGACAUCAGGAGGUUAGUGCAAUGGCAUAAGCUAGCUUGACUGCGAGCGUGACGGCGCGAGCAGGUGCGAAAGCAGGUCAUAGUGAUCCGGUGGUUCUGAAUGGAAGGGCCAUCGCUCAACGGAUAAAAGGUACUCCGGGGAUAACAGGCUGAUACCGCCCAAGAGUUCAUAUCGACGGCGGUGUUUGGCACCUCGAUGUCGGCUCAUCACAUCCUGGGGCUGAAGUAGGUCCCAAGGGUAUGGCUGUUCGCCAUUUAAAGUGGUACGCGAGCUGGGUUUAGAACGUCGUGAGACAGUUCGGUCCCUAUCUGCCGUGGGCGCUGGAGAAUUGAGGGGGGCUGCUCCUAGUACGAGAGGACCGGAGUGGACGCAUCACUGGUGUUCGGGUUGUCAUGCCAAUGGCACUGCCCGGUAGCUAAAUGCGGAAGAGAUAAGUGCUGAAAGCAUCUAAGCACGAAACUUGCCCCGAGAUGAGUUCUCCCUGAGACUAUAAGUCUCCUGAAGGAACGUUAAAGACGAUGACGUUGAUAGGCCGGGUGUGUAAGCGCAGCGAUGCGUUGAGCUAACCGGUACUAAUGAACCGUGAGGCUUAACCUU